UUGAGUGUUUGUUUGAUUCUUCCUGUCAGAGCAUUCAUAGCUGUUGCUUUCAUUUCCCCACAUGGUUUCUUUACCGCUUUUAUUUACCUGUAUACAGCUAAACUCUGGCAUUCCAAUCGUCUUCUUACUUUGACUUGACAAAAUGAGUUUCAAUAUGUCCGUCUCUACCGUCAACUCUCUGGACAAUGAUGGUGGCGCGUCUCGCUAUCUGAUCGCUUGUGGCGAUGUGAAAUGCAGCCAUGGUAAAUGUGUGCUGGUGAACAGCCAGCCCACCUGUGAGUGUAAGCUGGGAUACAUAGGAAACACCUGUAGUGAUACGAUCAAUGAGGCCGUCUCCCUACCACUCAUUCUCGGGGUGCUGGCCUUCAUAUUUGGCUUCAUCAUCCUGAUUUUUGGGCUGGCAUUCUUCAGGCAAAUGCAAAAGGCAAAGCAGAGAAGAAAGACUGCUGAAGAAGCUUUAAGACGAAAUGGAGUGCUCCUUUAAGAUGCCUUAAUGCCACAUGACAUAGAAAAGAAUGAUUAAAAGCUUGAAGCACUUUGAAGAGUUUACGAAAUGAGUUCUCCAUGUCACAUAAUGUAACUUACAAUUACAUGUACAUGAAAAGUAGUAUAUUCAGUUUAUAGUGUUGUUUGGGUAGGCUAUUUACUAUCUAUAAAGUUAUCCUAAGCAGAAAUCUCUUGGUAUUAAUGUAAUGCUUAAAUCACUGAUUGACUGAAAAUUGUUGUGCAUGAAAGACAUAAAUUAAGCUUUUGGAUGAUUUGUGUUGGGAUACCUGCAGGGGGUGAUGCAUGUCUAUCAUGAUAAAUGUGCAUUGACUAGUUGGCAGGAAUUUCAGUGCUGUUUUUCUUGAGUUAUAUUUGGUUUAGUCGUGACGGGUGAGUUUGAAUGACUCUGAAAACUGAAUGGUUUUAUGGGCUGAUAAGCCAUCAACAGGCAUCUGCUUCAAGUGUGUAUUUAUGGGGCACGGUUUCACAACAACUCUGUAUUACACUGUUUUUUUCUGGCCUCAAGACCAAAUGUCUGUACUAGUAUUAACAUGCCUUUUUAAAUGGUAUUUC
This is a long non-coding RNA of Xyrauchen texanus (razorback sucker), 1059 nucleotides long. RefSeq lists it as uncharacterized. The record is from RefSeq and is a predicted model, not a curated record. Lineage: Eukaryota; Metazoa; Chordata; Actinopteri; Cypriniformes; Catostomidae. The transcript is spliced from 4 exons.